ACGUGGGCAACCUGCCUGUAAGUUGGGGAUAACUCCGGGAAACCGGGGCUAAUACCGAAUGAUAAGAUGUGGCGCAUGCCACGCCUUUGAAAGAUGGUUUCGGCUAUCGCUUACAGAUGGGCCCGCGGUGCAUUAGCUAGUUGGUAGGGUAAUGGCCUACCAAGGCAACGAUGCAUAGCCGACCUGAGAGGGUGAUCGGCCACACUGGGACUGAGACACGGCCCAGACUCCUACGGGAGGCAGCAGUAGGGAAUCUUCCGCAAUGGACGAAAGUCUGACGGAGCAACGCCGCGUGUAUGAAGAAGGUUUUCGGAUCGUAAAGUACUGUUGUUAGAGAAGAACAAGGAUAAGAGUAACUGCUUGUCCCUUGACGGUAUCUAACCAGAAAGCCACGGCUAACUACGUGCCAGCAGCCGCGGUAAUACGUAGGUGGCAAGCGUUGUCCGGAUUUAUUGGGCGUAAAGCGCGCGCAGGCGGUCUUUUAAGUCUGAUGUGAAAGCCCCCGGCUUAACCGGGGAGGGUCAUUGGAAACUGGAAGACUGGAGUGCAGAAGAGGAGAGUGGAAUUCCACGUGU
This 575-nucleotide ribosomal RNA is filed under the name uncultured bacterium. RNAcentral's name for it is "bacterial SSU rRNA". It matches the Rfam family "Bacterial small subunit ribosomal RNA", at positions 115 to 676 of the family's 1533-position model. The record is from RNAcentral.